AAAAGUGGCAAAGUUGUGUGUGCCAAAGUCUGUGUGUGCUCUUCUUCUACCUUCAGUUCGUGAGUGUGUGCUUCUUCAUCCUCGGGCUGUUCCAACAGCGCCACCGACCACGUCCGCGAGCUCUGCUACGACCUGGUCCUCUUCUCCCCGCUGCUAUACAUCCGUCUAGUUCGCCACGCCACCGCUGCUCACCCUCCGCCUCAGCUUAGUAGUUGCUCCGUUGCCGCAGCCAUCUCUCGGCCUAAUAAAUCCUGCAACUUCUGUUGAUUGAUGCGACGGACGAGGAUAAUUUGGUGGUUGCUGCUGAUGUUGGUGGUUUGAGCAUCCAUUUCAGGGACAAGACUCAAAAUUUGGAGCCACAAAGAUUAGUCCCCGCACACUACAUGUUUGAUGAAAUGCCGACAGCACCCCCAGCGACGUCUUCUUCACCUCUCUUCCCGCCCGCACACUACCUAUUCGAUGAAAUGUCCUCAAUCUAGCUGAAAACGACAAGAUAUCUGUAUUCCACACGCCUUCCCUACAGGUAUGAAGGACAACAUGACAUGCUGCACUUUUGCAUCAGAGUGAAUUAAAGAUGCUCAACACACUAUGGCUGCAAUGGUAAUUGCCAAUAAAAGCUGAAAUGGAUGAUGAGAACUGUCAGGAUUGAAGAUAUAGAUGGCAUGCAAUACGAGAUGAUCGAUCUUAUCUAUGUGAGCAAUGAAAUACAAUAUGGAUCUCACGUCCCAUAUUACAUUGAUGAGGAGCUGCUGCAGCGCGACGAUUAAAUGUGGGGAAAAAAGAUCCCAAGUCUCGUUGAAAUAUUUACGGUUUCCGUGUUGAAUUGUGGUCAAUACAAAUCCUGGACCUCAAGUCUUGUUGGAAGUCUAUGUUUCUGUGGAAAAAUGAGGCAGUGGGUGCAGCUUGUGGAAUUCAAAACAUGUAGAACGAUGGAUUCACCUUUUUGUAAUUCACCUUUUUGUAAUCAGUCAAACGAUGGAUUACAAAACUUGAGAAAUAUAUUCAGGUGGGGAGCUCCCCCCCCCCCCCCCGGUUGAUUUUUCAAAA
This is a long non-coding RNA of Triticum aestivum (bread wheat), 1047 nucleotides long. RefSeq lists it as uncharacterized. The transcript is spliced from 5 exons. NCBI's taxonomy places the organism in Eukaryota, Viridiplantae, Streptophyta, Magnoliopsida, Poales, Poaceae. The record is from RefSeq and is a predicted model, not a curated record.